AGGGACCACAGCAUCGUCUUUUGGCACAGACUUCCCCAGGAGAAAAUGGAGAAGUCUUCUCCUCUUGGAGAGGUCCAAGGGCAGCAUCCGCAGCUGCUCUUUUACCACGGAGUCGGCGGGCAGCAGAUGCCGAGACUGCCGACUGGGUGUUUGGAAGAGAAACACCCGAUGUUUCUAAGGAAGGUGUCUCCAUUGGAAUGGUGAAUUUUUCACCUGGGCAGAAAUUCCUGUCCAUGACCGUUCCCGCAGCCAACAAGGCUUGUCCUGCCAGCAGCAGCAGGAAGCGCAAUGGCACCCGUGCUGCGGGCAGUGGGACCUUCACAAACGUCACCAUGGGGACGUUCCACUGCAUCACAGCCGCAUCACAGGGCAGAGAACGUUUGCUGGCAAAAUGGGGCAGCCAGGUACACCUUAAUUAAGGAAAUAGGAUCCAAGUGUCAUGCUACUGUGGCUCUAUGGGCUGUCAUACUACAACAGUGUAGAUAGUUGAGCAGAACAUGGAAAAGAAAAGCAGACAUCAGAAUUACAACACUCAGAUGUUAAAUUUCAACAUUGUCCAAUGUCAUCCUACGGAGCACCAAGGGUAAAGUCAAAGCUUUCAUGCUUGACACAAACAGAGGAUCUCAUAUUCAGCGCCUCAUAAAUCCAUUAUUAAAAAUUCUGUUUAAGUUAUAAAAUACAACAUUAAGAAGUUUUCUUUAUCAGUUUCACUUUAUCCAUACCAUGUUUUACAUUACAUAGCAAACUCUAACUGUCCUGCUACUGAGCCAGCUUACUUUGGGAAGAAGUUCUUUACUGUGAAGGUGGUGAGACACUGGACCAGGUUGUCCAGAGAGGUGAUGGAUGCCCCUUUCCUGGAAGCACUGAAAGGCCAGGCUGGAUGGGGCUGUGAGAACCUGGUAUAGAGGAAGGUGUCCCUCCUUGCAGCAGGGGGGUUGGAACUAGAUGAUCUUAAAGGGCCCUUCCAUCCCAAACCAUUCUAAGAUUCUAUGAUUAUAUGUAGCCAGGGCUACCUCAUGCAACAAGAGUGGUUGAGUUGAUAUAACAGAAGGACAGGAUGCCAUCAAAAGGGACCUGGACAAGCUUGAGAAGUGAGCCCAUGUGAACCUAAUGAGGUACAAUAAAGCCUAGUACAAGAAGUUGCACUUGGGUUGUAGCAAUCCUAGGUAUGUGUACAGAAUGGGUUAAGAGCCCCUUGAGAGCUACAGCCCUGCAGAGAAGGACUUGGGGGUCCUGGUGGGUGAAAAGCUGGACAUGAACCACCAGUGUGUUCUCUGCAGCCUAGAAGGCCAACAGUACCCUGUGUCAAAAGAGGUGUCGACAGCAGGGUGAGAGAGAGGAUUGUCUCCCUCUGCUAUGCCCUACUGAGGCCUCAUCAGAAGUGCUGUGACCACACCUCGGGGUCCAGUACAAAAAGGGUGUAGAGCUGUUGGACUGGGUCCAGAGGAGGGU
Molecule: non-coding RNA, 1452 nt
Organism: Meleagris gallopavo (turkey)
Lineage: Eukaryota; Metazoa; Chordata; Aves; Galliformes; Phasianidae
Source: RefSeq, a predicted model, not a curated record